This is a long non-coding RNA of Capsicum annuum, 728 nucleotides long. RefSeq lists it as uncharacterized. The record is from RefSeq and is a predicted model, not a curated record. The transcript is spliced from 2 exons. NCBI's taxonomy places the organism in Eukaryota, Viridiplantae, Streptophyta, Magnoliopsida, Solanales, Solanaceae.
UACUGAUUCAAUAAGUUUUCUCUUUUUCUUUUAUAAAGCUGAUAAAGUUUAUUCCUUUUUCUAUAUAUCAUAACAGCACAUAGAUUAUCAUCAAACUCUGGCACUACCAGCUCACACAUGGUUGUUCUUUCACUGUCACAGUCACCACACUCUACUGUAUGCCUUCUCUUCUCUUUUUUUUUCUUCAUUUGGUAAAGUGAACACAUUCAAAGUUCUCCAACAGAAUUCUCUCAUCAUAGGUCCCUCCUUACUCGUUCAUUCAUUCUACUACACUUACAAAUAUGGUUGAUCCAGAUUCGUACAAGAAAAUUCAUAUCGAGUCCUUACGGGAAAUUUAAAGGCAGUUUAAUGAACUCCAGAGGGAUUUGACAAACUUCGGAGCAAGGCUGAUGAGGGCCCUGCCGCUGCCGAAUGAAAAUUGUCCGGUUGACAAUAAUAAUAAUAUUAAUAAUAAUAAUAAUAAUAAAUAAUAGUAAUAAUAAUUAGGUUAUGUUUUUUUUUAUUUUAGCGUGUGGAUGUAUUUCCUCCUUUUGUAUAUCAGAUCUACCCAAGAGAUCCAAAAAUCUUUGUUUGGUGGUCGACUUUGAAUUUUUAAUUCUUAUUUAGUAUUUAACUAUCAUUCUAUUUAUUCAUUAUUCUCAACAUGUUGACGGAGGUUAAUCUGAUAUGACAGAUCGAUCAUAUAUUGUAAUAGGCGGUUAUUAAUAAAAAAGGAUUAUUGUUAUUGA